Populus euphratica (Euphrates poplar) is the source of this 287-nucleotide long non-coding RNA. RefSeq lists it as uncharacterized. NCBI's taxonomy places the organism in Eukaryota, Viridiplantae, Streptophyta, Magnoliopsida, Malpighiales, Salicaceae. The transcript is spliced from 2 exons. The record is from RefSeq and is a predicted model, not a curated record.
UCCCCAAGGUUCACCACAGCUUCUCGGAUAGUACCAUCAGGGUUAUUUGGCGAGGUUACGACCUCAAUAUAAGGUCCAUCCUUAUCAAAGAUAAUAAAUGUCGCAACCACAUAUAUAUUAAUUAAUCUUGUACGAAGAUUAAUAAUCGACUGAGAGAAUUCAUCUUUCCUUUUUUCACUAUAGGCACACCACGAGGUGAGAAACCUGUCUGCAAUUUUUUGUUCAGUUAAGUAACAUUAACAUGAAGAAAACUUGCCAACACCAAUGGAAGCAAUCACAUUAUUGAA